AACAUAGAAGCUAAUUAAAGAGACUUAGGAUUAGCAUUGUGCAUGGAUUCCACGACCCAAGGAAAGAGGCCACUCCCAGUUAAGCUGGAGCAAAUGCAGAAUUUGAAAUUGAUUUAUUAUGGG
Molecule: long non-coding RNA, 123 nt
Filed under: Sus scrofa (pig)
Lineage: Eukaryota; Metazoa; Chordata; Mammalia; Artiodactyla; Suidae
Description: lncRNA (ENSSSCG00040028488.1)
Source: RNAcentral